UGGUUGAUCCUGCCAGAGGCUACUGCUAUCGGGGUCCGACUAAGCCAUGCGAGUUGAGAGGGUAAAGCCCUCGGCAUAUUGCUCAGUAACACGCGGAUAACCUGCCCUUGGGUUCGGGAUAACCCCGGGAAACUGGGACUAAUACCGGAUAGAUCAAAGAAACUGGAAUGUUCUCUGGUUAAAAACUCCGGUGCCCAAGGAUGGGUCUGCGGCCUAUCAGGUAGUAGUGGGUGUAACGUACCUACUAGCCUACGACGGGUAAGGGUUGUGAGAGCAAAGUCCCUGAGAUGGAUUCUGAGACAUGAAUCCAGGCCCUACGGGGUGCAGCAGGCGCGAAAACUUUACACUGCGGGAAACCGCGAUAAGGGGACCCCGAGUGCCAGCACCUAGUGCUGGCUGUCCAGCUGUCCAAACAACAGUUGUUAGCAAGGGCCGGGCAAGACCGGUGCCAGCCGCCGCGGUAACACCGGCGGCCCGAGUGGUAGCCGUUAUUAUUGGGUUUAAAGGGUCCGUAGCCGGCCUAUUAAGUCCCUUGGGAAAUCUGGCGGCUUAAUCGUCAGGCGUCCAAGAGAUACUGGUAGGCUUGGGACCGGGAGAGGUGGGAGGUACUCCAGGGGUAGGGGUGAAAUCUCGUAAUCCUUGGGGGACCACCGAUGGCGAAGGCAUCCCACCAGAACGGGUCCGACGGUGAGGGACGAAAGCUGGGGGCACGAACCGGAUUAGAUACCCGGGUAGUCCCAGCUGUAAACGAUGCUCGCUAGGUGUCAGAUGCGGUGCGACCGCAUCUGGUGCCGCAGUGAAAACUUGAAGCGAGUCACCUGGGAAGUACGGUCGCAAGGCUGAAACUUAAAGGAAUUGGCGGGGGAGCAC
Molecule: ribosomal RNA, 870 nt
Filed under: uncultured archaeon
Lineage: Archaea
Description: bacterial SSU rRNA
Rfam family: Archaeal small subunit ribosomal RNA
Source: RNAcentral